RNAcentral lists this ribosomal RNA (252 nucleotides) under uncultured bacterium. RNAcentral describes it as "partial 16S ribosomal RNA". It matches the Rfam family "Bacterial small subunit ribosomal RNA", at positions 524 to 776 of the family's 1533-position model. The record is from RNAcentral.
UACGUAGGGGGCAAGCGUUGUCCGGAGUUACUGGGCGUAAAGCGCACGCAGGCGGUCUCUUAAGUUUGGAGUGACAGUUGGUGGCUUAACUGCCAAAGUGCUUCGAAAACUGAGAGACUUGAGGGCUUCAGAGGGACACGGAAUUCCGGGUGGAGUGGUGAAAUGCGUAGAGAUCCGGAGGAACACCAAAGGCGAAGGCAGUGUCCUGGGGAGUACCUGACGCUCAGGUGCGAAAGCCAGGGAGCGAACGGG